This 1435-nucleotide ribosomal RNA is filed under the name uncultured organism. Its description in RNAcentral is "16S ribosomal RNA". It matches the Rfam family "Bacterial small subunit ribosomal RNA". The record is from RNAcentral.
AACGCUAGCUACAGGCUUAACACAUGCAAGUCGAGGGGCAGCAUGGUCUUAGCUUGCUAAGGCCGAUGGCGACCGGCGCACGGGUGAGUAACACGUAUCCAACCUGCCGUCUACUCUUGGACAGCCUUCUGAAAGGAAGAUUAAUACAAGAUGGCAUCAUGAGUCCGCAUGUUCACAUGAUUAAAGGUAUUCCGGUAGACGAUGGGGAUGCGUUCCAUUAGAUAGUAGGCGGGGUAACGGCCCACCUAGUCUUCGAUGGAUAGGGGUUCUGAGAGGAAGGUCCCCCACAUUGGAACUGAGACACGGUCCAAACUCCUACGGGAGGCAGCAGUGAGGAAUAUUGGUCAAUGGGCGAGAGCCUGAACCAGCCAAGUAGCGUGAAGGAUGACUGCCCUAUGGGUUGUAAACUUCUUUUAUAAAGGAAUAAAGUCGGGUAUGGAUACCCGUUUGCAUGUACUUUAUGAAUAAGGAUCGGCUAACUCCGUGCCAGCAGCCGCGGUAAUACGGAGGAUCCGAGCGUUAUCCGGAUUUAUUGGGUUUAAAGGGAGCGUAGAUGGAUGUUUAAGUCAGUUGUGAAAGUUUGCGGCUCAACCGUAAAAUUGCAGUUGAUACUGGAUAUCUUGAGUGCAGUUGAGGCAGGCGGAAUUCGUGGUGUAGCGGUGAAAUGCUUAGAUAUCACGAAGAACUCCGAUUGCGAAGGCAGCCUGCUAAGCUGCAACUGACAUUGAGGCUCGAAAGUGUGGGUAUCAAACAGGAUUAGAUACCCUGGUAGUCCACACGGUAAACGAUGAAUACUCGCUGUUUGCGAUAUACUGCAAGCGGCCAAGCGAAAGCGUUAAGUAUUCCACCUGGGGAGUACGUCGGCAACGGUGAAACUCAAAGGAAUUGACGGGGGCCCGCACAAGCGGAGGAACAUGUGGUUUAAUUCGAUGAUACGCGAGGAACCUUACCCGGGCUUAAAUUGCAGAUGAAUUACGGUGAAAGCCGUAAGCCGCAAGGCAUCUGUGAAGGUGCUGCAUGGUUGUCGUCAGCUCGUGCCGUGAGGUGUCGGCUUAAGUGCCAUAACGAGCGCAACCCUUGUUGUCAGUUACUAACAGGUUCCGCUGAGGACUCUGACAAGACUGCCAUCGUAAGAUGUGAGGAAGGUGGGGAUGACGUCAAAUCAGCACGGCCCUUACGUCCGGGGCUACACACGUGUUACAAUGGGGGGUACAGAGGGCCGCUACCACGCGAGUGGAUGCCAAUCCCCAAAACCUCUCUCAGUUCGGACUGGAGUCUGCAACCCGACUCCACGAAGCUGGAUUCGCUAGUAAUCGCGCAUCAGCCACGGCGCGGUGAAUACGUUCCCGGGCCUUGUACACACCGCCCGUCAAGCCAUGGGAGCCGGGGGUACCUGAAGUGCGUAACCGCGAGGAGCGCCCUAGGGUAAAACUGG